UCUGGUUGAUCCUGCCAGUAGUUAUAUGCUUGUCUCAAAGAUUAGGCCAUGCAUGUCUAAGUAUUAACGAACUAAAAGUGAAACCGCAAAAGGCUCAUUAUAUCAGUUAUGGUUCCUUAGAUCGUUAACAGUUACUUGGAUAAUUGUGGUAAUUCUAUAGCUAAUACAUGCAAUUAAAACAUCAACCUUAUGGGACAUGUGCUUUUAUUAGGCUAAAACCAAGUGAUCGCAAGAUCGUUAUAUUGGUUGAACUCUAGAUAACAUGCAGAUCGUAUGGUCUUGUACCGACGACAGAUCUUUCAAAUGUCUGCCCUAUCAACUAUUGAUGGUAGUAUCUAGGACUACCAUGGUUGCAACGGGUAACGGGCAAUCAGGGUUCGAUUCCGGAGAGGGAGCCUGAGAAACGGCUACAAUAUCUAAGGAAGGCAGCAGGCGCGUAAAUUACCCACUCCCAGCUCGGGGAGGUAGUGACGAAAAAUAACAAUACAGGACUCAUAUCCGAGGCCCUGUAAUUGGAAUGAAUACACUUUAAAUCAUUUAACAAGGACCAAUUGGAAGGCAAGUUUGGUGCCAGCAGCCGCGGUAAUUCCAGCUCCAAUAGCGUAUAUUAAAGUUGUUGCGGUUAAAACGUUCGUAAUUGAACUUGUGCUUCAUGCGGGUAGUACAACUUACAAUUGUGGUAAGCGUAUUACCGGUGGAGUUCUUAUAUGUGAUUAAAUACUUGUAUUUUUUCAUAUGUUCCUCCUAUUUAAAACCUGCAUUAGUGCUCUUAAACGAGUGUUAUUGUGGGCCGUUACUAUUACUUUGAACAAAUAAGAGUGCUUAAAGCAGGCUUCAAAUGCCUGAUUAUUCUGUGCAUGGGAUAAUGAAAUAAGACCUCUGUUCUGCUUUCAUUGGAUUUCAGAUCAAGAGGUAAUGAUUAAUGGAAGCAGUUUGGGGGAAUUAGUAUUACGACGCUAGAGCUGAAAUUCUUGGACCGUCGUAAGACUAACUUAAGCGAAAGCAUUUGCCAAAGAUGUUUUCAUUAAUCAAGAACGAAAGUUAGAGGUUCGAAGGCGAUCAGAUACCGCCCUAGUUCUAACCAUAAAAGAUGCCAGCUAGCAAUUGGGUGUAGCUACUUUUAUCGAUCAUUCAUUCAGUCGCUUCCCGGGAAACCAAAGCUUUUGGGCUCCGGGGGAAGUAUGGUUGCAAAGAUGAAACUUAAAGGAAUUGACGGAAGGGCACCACCCUUGGUGGAGCCUGCGGCUUAAUUUGACUCAACACGGGAAAACUUACCAGGUGCGAGCAUAAGUGUGUAAGACAGAUUGAUAGCUCUUUCUCGAAUCUAUGGGUGGUGGUGCAUGGCCGUUCUUAGUUCGUGGAGUGAUAAUAGAUAUCUUCAGGAUUAUGGUGCUGAAGCUUAUAUAGCCUUCAUUCAUGGUGGCAGUAAAAUGUUUAUUGUGUUUGAAUGUGUAUAUGUAAGAGGAGCCGUACCUGUUGGUUUGUCUCAUUAUAAGGACACUACCUUCUUAAAUGGACAAAUUGCGUCUAGCAAUAAUGAGAUUGAGCAAUAACAGGUCUGUGAUGCCCUUAGAUGCACGCGCGCUACAAUAAUGUUUCCUAGACCGAGAGGUCCGGGUAAACCGCUGAACCGCUUUCAUGCUUGGGAUUGUGAACUGAAACUGUUCACAUGAACUUGCAUUGAUUACGUCCCUGCCCUUUGUACACACCGCCGGUCGCUAUUUACUUACC
Molecule: ribosomal RNA, 1731 nt
Filed under: Drosophila erecta
Lineage: Eukaryota; Metazoa; Arthropoda; Insecta; Diptera; Drosophilidae
Description: SSU rRNA
Rfam family: Eukaryotic small subunit ribosomal RNA
Source: RNAcentral